Molecule: long non-coding RNA, 5446 nt
Filed under: Xyrichtys novacula (pearly razorfish)
Lineage: Eukaryota; Metazoa; Chordata; Actinopteri; Labriformes; Labridae
Source: RNAcentral
GCUGAUAUUACUUACUGUUUAGUGUUUUGUGUUUCUGCAGAAUCUGUUGGCCCUCAGCGGCUAAAGAGCCAUUAAAGGCAGAAAGGACUGGAGGACAACAGAGUGCUCUGUUCUGGUAACUGCUGCUCUCUAUUGUUGGAGGGAAAUAUGCUUCGAACAGGCUCUGACCCAGUGGAAACUCAUCCAGAUCGCAACCACGGCUUCCUCUGCUCCUCUUAUUCCCAUCCUAAUUUUUUUAUAAACUCAUAAAUAGACAAACAGAGUAUCUCUCAUAGGUUUUUCCCGCAGUAACCGUGCCAGUUCCCUCCGAGUGAAACUCAUUCAUCUGCUGCCAAGGUUGAGAAUCAAAGAGGUCCAGUCUUCUAAGAAAUGAAGCUGGCAUAGUGUUUGAUAAAGUAUCUCUUUUAAAGAAGUAAUGUGAGAGAAUUUUGUUUUUGCCAUACAAGAUAACAAGUUAUUUAUUGUAAAACUACUUUUGUUGGCUGCUCUCUCAAGGUUUAUUCCAUGCAAGUGUGAUAAAAUGCCAAAGGAGCAAGCCUCUAGAUUCAUUUUGUAUGCAGACGCCUCGAAGUUCUUGUCAAACAUCUAUUCAGGCUCUUAUUUCAAACCACUUCCACCUUAUUGUGCCUUAACUGAAGCAAUAAGGAGGCAGAAGGUUCCAGUGACGUGGGUUUCCUGCCUGUCGGUGCUUAAUUGAUUUGAACCUGGCAACAUUACUCUGCCAGUAACCUGGUGGCUCCAUAGAAAUCAAGUCUGUGUGAGCCAACACAGUGACGUCAGGAUGGAAAGGGGUUAUAACCUCUUUGGGGUUAUUUGGCAGCUCUUAACACGACCACACUUACUUUCUCAGUGGCAGCGCCUUAGCAGGGGCUGUCAGGACUCUUUAACCUGAGGGGAGGCCAUCACACAGUGCUGUCAGAGGGUAUUAAGACACUUUGUUUUGAGUCUUUACACUGGAUUUGAUUUAGGAGGACUUAGACCGUGUCAUACGUUUAAAUCUUUUUUAUACACAGUCGCUUAAUCUUUGACAAUCCAAGAGGUCAGUGAGCCCAAACAUGCAGAAAAGGUACAUUUGUUUUAAACAGCUGCAUGCUUUUUGAGGACCAUAUAGGAUACAAAUGACCUCCAAAAUAAGCAAGAUAGUGUAAAAGUCUGCAGUAUGGCUCUUUCAUUAAAGUUGUCUCCUGAUAUGUUUAACCUUCAUGCUAUCAUAGAAUUGGCAACAAAACAUGAAAUAAUGCAUAUCUCUGUCACAGAAAACAGUGUCUCUAACAAGAAAAUCUCUUUUAGAGAGAGCUGUAGCUGCUACAUGAUCAUAUUAAAAUGUGAAUAAUAAUAAUAAUAAUACCUGCUGGAGUCAGCACCUAAACCUGUCUGUUUCACUGCAAAUCAAAUAAUGUGCUAGAAAGAGAGAAAUAUAAAAGAGACGAAUAUCAACAUCACAGUGGCAAAUUUAUGAGAGGUUAAACUCUUCUGCUGCAACUGUGAUUUUAUUUGAUGGUGUUUGUACAUUAUGUAAUCAUUAAGAGUGAAGUGAACCAGGUCAAGUGAGAAAAUGAUGAAAUUCAUAAAAAUGUAUACACUAGAAACAAACCUGGGCACUUCUGUUAGACAGACUCCCAAACAAAGCUACCAGAGCAGCUCAGAGGGAAGACAGUUUUUGAUGGUGACUAAAUUAGCACUUCCUUUAAACCACCCCUCAGCUAAAUAACCAUGAGUCCAAAGAGGCCAAAAGGAUACAGGUCAAAGCUCACUGCGUCACUGUACACACUCACUCUCAUCUAUACUCACAUCUAUUCCACAUAGGAUGGAAACGCUAAACUUGUGUCACAGAUGUAUUAUUGGGGGGGCAUGAAAUACUGGCUAAAAAGCAAAGUUACUUUAUGUAAAAAAAACAUUUUUUGCUUAAAGUAUGAGAGACAAUCUCUUUGGCUACAAAUCCCUCCAACAACCCAAACAUUUAUUUGCUUCUGGAGCAGAACAUAUACAGAAAAGAGAGGGGCAAGUCUGACCUCUUGUGGACUUUUGAUGCAUUACCGAUGAGGGGAAACCAUAAAACAGUGAGAGAUUUAUAGAGCACUUCAAAACUCAAAUACAUUUAUAAAAAAGGAACUGAAAAUCUGAGAAUUAUAAAGUUUUGACAAUAAGUACAACAAGGAGGGAACAGAAGUCUGUUUCAUAUUGAAACUGAAAUUGAUCAUUUUAAACAUGUAAAAGAGAAAAAAAGAACGAAAACAAACAAACAGACUGACAUAAAAAGCAGAAACUAUUUCAAUUUUAGUAUAAUUUCAGUGAACUUAUCAGAAAAGGAGUGGGGAAAAAGUGACAUUUACUGAACCCCAUACCCUCCUUUUGUUAUUGAUUAAUUGUCAAUGAUACAAUCGGCUUCCCAUCACCAUGUAUGUUAAUCAUCUCAUUUUAAAGACUGUCUGAUUCACACUUAAAAGCUUUACCUUAUCGUCUUAAAAAACAUCACACACACAAAAAUAAUAAGUUAAGACCUUUUUUCACUUGAUAACAGCGUCUAGAUAUGUUCUGUUGAUUUAGUUUUCCCUGGUUUUGUGAUUUCAGUGUAUUUUUUGUGUGUGUAUUUUUCCCAGUGUUUUUGUUCCCCCAUUGUUCCUGUUCCCCUGUAGUCGAGUCUUGUGAGUUUUCAGUUUGUGUUUGACCCUGUUUCCCUCAUAUUUUCAGUGUUUCAUUCUUUAGAUCAGUUUUCAAUGUUUUCUGUUUUAUUUUGUAGUAGUUGAUUUCUUGUGUUUCUAGUUUGGUUUUACUCCCCUCUUUGGCUAAUCGCCUAUGAGUUUCACCUGUGUCUCGUUUGCCGCACCUGUUGCUCGUUUGCCUCACCUGUUGCUUGUUUUCCCAUGUGUAUAUAGUCCCUGUCUUCCCCUCUGUCUUGGUGGGUUCAAUGUAUGUCGAUGUGUUUGUGUGUGUUUUUUUCCCAGUGGCUUUGGUUGGAUUAUUUGCUCCUUGUGUUUUUGAAAUAAGUUUUUGUUGCUUUUUAUUUCGUUUUUUUUAAUAUAUCAUUUUUUGUUCUGCAUUUGGGUCUUUUUAUUUUGUUUAACCCUGGCUCAUGACAAACAGCAAACCUGUACAAGACAGAAAUACUAGAAUAAUGCCAUCACUUAUAUACUCGUACAAAUACUGUUUUAUUUUUACCUCAAGUGAACAGUACAUGUUUGUGUGAGCUAUAACAUGAAAUAUUAAUCCAUAGAAUGUCAACCAUGACAAGAAUUAGAUAGCAUAAAUAGUAUUACACCAGGCCAGUAUCGUACAGCACUGUUUAGAGUCUCACAUCAAAGUCAGAGGUUUUGGAUAGCACUAAAUGGUGAAGGGGAAGUUUGAAGAAAACCUAAAGUGAUUCGAAAAAACUCUGGUAUAAUUUUUUAUUGUCUUCUCUUACAGUUGUCCUAAACCUAAGAAGACUAGCUAUGAGGCUCCCCAUGAUUUGAACCUUUAGGGACAAUAUUAUGUGGCAAAAACAAUCAGAUUGAAAUUUAUGAAUUAUGUAUAAACAAAGUUUCAUUUAGAAUAAAACCUCUUGUUCAAGAUCAGCCUAAACCUAUAAAGCCCAAGGAGAUAAUAUUCGAGUAUAAUUUCAAUGUGCCCAAAGGUAGAUCUUCUAUCUCCGCCUCUGAAGAUUUUCAACAUGCAGCUAUCUAGUCAAAAGUCAACAUACUGAACCACUGGUUGGUCUUAAAGCAUAUGUGUGCAACCUAUAGAGGCUAUAGUCCUCAUUGCAGGGGUUGCUAGUCUAGCUACUGGCCCUGACUGGUUGCCUCUCCACUAUUCCUGUCCCUCUUCAGAUGUGCUAUCCAAUAAAGGCAAAAAUGCACAAAAAUCAAAUUUAAAAUACAAGACAUUUGAUGAAAUACAAACACCUGGUCAGACAGUAGAAUAAAAGGUUAUUACUGAAACUGUUUUAUAUCCACCUUGAGUGUGGAAAGAAUGUUAGUAUCAUAUUUCAUGGUUAUCCUCACCAUGGUCAUGUCAUAAAAAACAAUAAAUGGCAUAGUCAUGUUGGCAAUACAGUCAAACUCAGUGAGAACACCAAGUACGAGUUCUCCUCUGGGAACAAUGAACAUAUAUGAACGAUUACUCAUCACUCCAUCAUUGAGAUAAUAUACAGGAUAACACUGAACAUUAUCCUGCUGAUGACACAAACAACCAAAGGCACGAAGUCACUGACAGUCUGAAGGACUGCCUGAUGGGAGAACAUUGGGGAUCAAUGUGAACGACCGUUUUGACUGAUAAUUACAGUUCAUAUGAAAAUUACCACAAAAUAUUUGCAUCACCGAUAAGAACUUUGCAUGAACACCUCCCCCCACCCCUAUGCUGUCCCUUACUUCCACUCCAUGUCACAGCCACACACUGUCCACCCUUUCAUCAUCAAGAGUGACACACCACUGUGCAGGGGGAUCCUGUGGGUGCUGAAUGUCACUGAAUAUUUGACAGCCUUUGUUUACUGAGGCAAAACUCUCAGGUGACGAAGAAAAGCAGCCAAACCAGGGUGUUGUUUAUAAGUCAGUGACAUUCCCAUGCGUCCAGUGCAAAUACGAUGCAGUGUGAACAUCAUCACACUCCUUUUUCAGACAGUAAGUUUGCUGCAGAAGUUGUUUGUUGGAGCUGUUUCACAUUCAUGGUAACCCUUGUUUUUCAUCUGCACAGACAUUAUAAAAGUGGCUGGGAAACUCAGAGGAGAAACCUCAGAAAAAAAGAAAAAAAAAUAGAUAAAAUGACAAAGAAGAGGACCACUGUAGGGUUUAUUUGGCCUUCCACUGUCAGCUUCACUUUGACUUUUUAAUUUCUGGAUUGAAGACUCACAAAAACAUGUUAAAUAACAUACCACAAUGUCACAAAUUCAAGGUAUGAACUUAGUACCAACUUACUUUAUAUUCUUUAAGUUCAUUUAAAUACAUUUGUUCGUCCUUUGUUACAUUAGCACAGUAAAGAGGAAUAUAGAGAGUCUAGUCUACCCUUGAAAAAGUGUAAUUAACACAACCUUAAUUACCAUGCUUCUGUUCCUGUCCCCCUAGAGGACAGUCACAUGUCCUUGUGAAGAUAUUUACCAGCUCCCACCUUGGGCAAGUAAGCAUCUUGUUAGACAGAGCCGUAAUAAAUGAGCUUGUUGUGAGGAGGGAUUUGGUGGGAUUACUUUCAACUCAGCUCCAUGAGGAAGGAUUUAUUAUGCUACCCCUGCAUCUCCAUGUGCAUGAUACAGGAAAGAUGAUGUUGUUUAGCAUAGCGAUGAAAGAACCAAAGCCUCAAAUCUCAAGGGUAGGAAAAAAAAAAAAAAAGGAGUGACUGCUCAUCUCGACAGAAUCUAAAGGGGGAAGUUUGUUUCCAAAGAAAUGCCAGCUCCACAAAAACAGGAGGGCACAGCUCUUCUGGGGAAAACAAAGUGUAACAAAGAAAACAAAGCAAAAGUAGAAAUAAAAAAGUUUUU